Peromyscus eremicus (cactus mouse) is the source of this 158-nucleotide small nuclear RNA. RefSeq annotates it as U1 spliceosomal RNA. The record is from RefSeq and is a predicted model, not a curated record. The transcript has a single exon. NCBI's taxonomy places the organism in Eukaryota, Metazoa, Chordata, Mammalia, Rodentia, Cricetidae.
AUAAAGAUUGGGUAUGGACAUGAUCACGAAGGUGAUUUUCCCAGAGUGAGGCUUAUCCAUUGCACUCCAGAUGUGCUGACCCCUGCGAUUUCCCCAAAUGCAGGAAAUUUGACUCCAUAAUUUGUGGUAGUGGGGAACUAUGUUUAUGCUCUCCCCUG